This 492-nucleotide ribosomal RNA is filed under the name uncultured bacterium. Its description in RNAcentral is "partial 16S ribosomal RNA". It matches the Rfam family "Bacterial small subunit ribosomal RNA", at positions 29 to 507 of the family's 1533-position model. The record is from RNAcentral.
AGUGAACGCUGGCGGUAGGCCUAACACAUGCAAGUCGAACGGCAGCACAGUAAGAGCUUGCUCUUACGGGUGGCGAGUGGCGGACGGGUGAGGAAUACAUCGGAAUCUACUUUUUCGUGGGGGAUAACGUAGGGAAACUUACGCUAAUACCGCAUACGACCUACGGGUGAAAGCAGGGGAUCUUCGGACCUUGCGCGAUUGAAUGAGCCGAUGUCGGAUUAGCUAGUUGGCGGGGUAAAGGCCCACCAAGGCGACGAUCCGUAGCUGGUCUGAGAGGAUGAUCAGCCACACUGGAACUGAGACACGGUCCAGACUCCUACGGGAGGCAGCAGUGGGGAAUAUUGGACAAUGGGCGCAAGCCUGAUCCAGCCAUACCGCGUGGGUGAAGAAGGCCUUCGGGUUGCAAAGCCCUUUUGUUGGGAAAGAAAAGCGGCAGGUUAAUACCCCGCUGUUCUGACGGUACCCAAAGAAUAAGCACCGGCUAACUUCGUG